Leopardus geoffroyi (Geoffroy's cat) is the source of this 2883-nucleotide long non-coding RNA. RefSeq lists it as uncharacterized. The transcript is spliced from 3 exons. Lineage: Eukaryota; Metazoa; Chordata; Mammalia; Carnivora; Felidae. The record is from RefSeq and is a predicted model, not a curated record.
UUAGCAUUCCUGCCUCUGGGGGCUGAGGGCUGCUGGCCCCCAGCAAGAGGGUAAGGCAAGACCCAGCCAGAAACGUCACCUGGCUGCCUUCUCACUGUCCUUUCCUCUCACCUAGCCUGGAAUUUCCACCAUCAAACUCCCUAAUGGAGUAAAGAAGCACACUGGGGGGCUCUAGAAGAGGACCAUGAGCAGAGGGGACCAGGUGAAAAGACGGUGUGUGGACUGAUGUGUGCUGUUAAAAGCAAUGAAUUAGAUCUGCCAGGGGCUUCCAGCCAUGAAAUGCUCUGCUCUCUUCUCUUUUCCUUGCCGUCCCCGGGGCUGGAGGAGCACAGGCCUCCCCAGGCACCGGGCCUCAGCUUUGCUGCACUCCCAUCUCCUUCCAAGGGUUGAGGCCGGGUGGCCAGAAAUGGGAGCUCCCCAGCCUCCCGCUGCCCGGCCAGCUCUGUCUGGACAACCUGCAGGCACCUCACGGUGACGCCCAACCCCACUGUCACAGGCCGACGGGUCCCUUCUCCUCUGCACCCCCAGGACCCCAUCGGUCUGGACUCCUUGGAACAGCCCCUCCUACCCGGGCCCGGCCGCCCACCCUGGGCAGGCCCAAGGCACAUUCCCACACUUCUCAGUUCCCCUUCGUGCUUGGAAAAGCUCCAACGCCAAUGGCUGCCACCAUGCUGCCCAUCCCUCCUGAGGGUGGUUUCUCUGGGCGUCCCGCAUCUUCACAGGAGCCAAGGAAUCUGGGGUGCUACGGUGGAACUUGGGGCACCCGGGGACUUUGGAGGGCAUGUUUCUGGACAGGAGGACCCAGCCACUGCUCUCCUUGGGUUGGUGUGGGGGACAGGCCCUCGUGCGGUGCAGAGGGACACUGGGCCUGAGGCCGCGGCACACCCGGCUUAGGAAGUGGCAGGCUGGAUGGCCUUGCAGCAGGAGACCACUCCGAGGAGAGACAACAGGCCACAUAAGUGACACUCAUUACUAAUAACAGACCAACUCCCUCACAUUGGUGCAGAGGUUUCCAGUUGACAUCAGUCAGAUCUUUCCAUCCCCAGAACGAGCCUAUCCCAAGACCACCAUCAUAAAGUGGAAACCGAGGCUCAGAGGGGAAACCACGUGUACAAGGCCCCAUAGCUAGAGAGCCUCUGGAUGGGAUUCAAGGUUUCUUAACAUCCUAUUCCCUCUUCUCCCUGACUGCCUUUGGUUCCAUCUUGUACCCCAGUCUCCCUACUGGCAGGACUGAAGUCUCCUAGCACUGUGACAAGAGCGAAAGCAGGGCUGGUCUGAUGCUUGAGAGAGAAGCAGGCUUUGGACGGCAUAGUUGUCAGAUGGCCACCCCUGGCCAGGUGUCAGUGCCCAGUGCCCCCGCCUCCCACCAAGUCCCAGCUGAGCAGAAGCCCUGGCCUGAGCCCUGCUCUGCCAUAGCCAGCUGCUGGUUGAGUUUCUCCUAACCUCUCUGAGCCUCAGAGCCCCUUCCUGUGAAAUUGGCUUUUCACAAACACCAAGCACCUACUUGGUGCCAGCUCUAUGCUGGGUGCAAGCUGCCUCUGAAGCUACAACAUGACCCUGGCCACAGUCCUGGGUAGAAGGCAGAUGAGUUACAAAAUUCUGAGAGCUCCCAGAUGGAAAUUGAGGCCUUGGGACACAGAUAGGGAGUGAUGGUGCUCCCAGGGUGCAGAGGGGUAUCACUUGGGAUGGGCCCAAAGGACAGGAAAGAGUUCUCCAGAAAAAGGAUGGGGGACAGACUCUCAUGCUGAGUCACACUCCUGUGCUUUGUAGUUCCCACGGCCUGAGUGCCCUUCCUUCCUCUGGGCCUGGUGAACUCCUACCCAUCCGUCAGGGCCCAUGGGCACACUGGAGAAUGACCAGGCCUGCCCUGGCCUGGUGGCUCCUUACCUCCUUUCUCCCACCCAGAGCCUAAGCAGAGCCUGAGGCCAGGAGUCUUUGGUCACAACACCCUCGCCAGCCCCACCCGGGCAGGCGUCUGCUCCCGGGUUCCAGCCCCCGCCGUCCCCUGCUCCGAAAAGCACCAUUUCCCUUUUCUGGGUGACCACACGCCAUGCACAGGGAAUUUCCAUCGCAGCCUGCGGAGCCUCUGAUUCACUCAGGCCCCUCAUGCAGUUAACUCCUUCCAGGCCCCGCGCCUUUAGCUCCGCACGCUGGGUGGUACCCCACCCCCACCCAGGGCCCCUGGGUGGCCUCAAACUGGCCUUGGGCCACAGCUCGGAAGUCGAAGUUUCUCCCUAGCCCUACGCCUCAGGAUCCUCCUGUCAUAUGCACAGAGACCUCUUCCCAAGGACUCACGGCAUACACACUGGGCAGCCUUGGGCCCAGAGCACAGGCUUUGGGGUAAAACAAGCCUGGGUCCAGUGCUGAGUCUGGCUCUUUCAGUCCUGUGACCCGGAAAAGUGUCCGCUCUGAGCCCCAUUUCUCAUCUGUGAAAUGGAGAUCAUCCCUGUCCCAUAGCCUCGCUGUAAGGAUCCAAUGUGCUGGGCCCAUGAGGACGGUUGUAUAAUUAUUACCUUUCCUUUUUCUUUUCAAAGGGCCCCUCUCAUCCAAUCUCAGGGUCCCUGCUCCAGUCCUGGGCCCCUUUUCUGUCUGGCUUUCCCCUCCUGAGAGCUGACUGCUCACACAGGGAGGGUGAGAGAGAAGUGCCAGGGGGGCAGAGGAGGGAGGGGGGCUAUUGUCAUGGGGCUCUCCUCCAGCAGCUUCCUGGCUCCCCGCAUUUCUCUUUUCCCAAGGAAGCUGUGAAGAGGACCUCUGCUGAGAUCUUGAGCCCGCAGGGACAGGGUGAGCCUUCCUCCCUGUGGAAGAACGCCGGGUGUGCACACUCCCCCCCCCCCCCCCCCCGCACACGAACAUCAUACAUGCUGUUUUGUGGAAUUCUCACAA